GAAAGGGCAGAGGGCAAGAAGGAUAUAUUAGAAACAGAAGACGUGAUUGUUCACAGUCAGUUACAGAUUGAACUCCUUGUUCUACUACUUUCCCCCCUCCUCACUACUGCACUUGACUAGUCUUAA
Molecule: small RNA, 126 nt
Filed under: Microcebus murinus (gray mouse lemur)
Lineage: Eukaryota; Metazoa; Chordata; Mammalia; Primates; Cheirogaleidae
Description: Y RNA (ENSMICG00000032787.2)
Source: RNAcentral